RNAcentral lists this long non-coding RNA (409 nucleotides) under Salvia miltiorrhiza (redroot sage). RNAcentral's name for it is "long non-coding RNA (SMIL_LNC004406)". The record is from RNAcentral. Lineage: Eukaryota; Viridiplantae; Streptophyta; Magnoliopsida; Lamiales; Lamiaceae.
UAAAUCCAACUCGGAGUAUUGAAAUUAGGUGAUAUCAUAGAACAAUUCAAUGAGAAAUAAAUUAAUUUUUCUUAUAAAUUGUUGGCCUCCUUUUUUAAAAUUUUUAGUAUCCUGCUAUUUCAAUUAAAUAAUAGAAGGACAAGUGUUAUAGUUUUUUUUUUUUUUUUUGAGGGGGGACAAGUGUUAUGGCUGAUACUAAUAGUUGUAAAAGCAUUUUGACCUUUGACCCUUAACCACGUCGAAAGGUUCCAAAGACUAAGUUAGCGAGGUGCUCAAAAAUGUUAUUCAUAAAUUGACAUUCAGAUAUGCAUCAUCAAUUAUAGAUUAAAUUCACGAAUAUGAUUGGUAAUAUCGUAAUUAGUUUAUGAUUAUAAUGAUGAUCAUCAAAAUAUUAUUAAUACUUAAAUGC